CUACGGGGUGCAGCAGUGGGGAAUAUUGCACAACGGAGGAAACUCUGAUGCAGCAACGCCGCGUGGAGGAUGACACUUUUCGGAGCGUAAACUCCUUUUAUAUAGGAAGAAGAUGACGGUACUAUAUGAAUAAGCGCCGGCUAACUCCGUGCCAGGCAGCCGCGGUAAUACGGAGGGCGCAAGCGUUACUCGGAAUCACUGGGCGUAAAGAGCGUGUAGGCGGAUUAAAAAGUCAGAAGUGAAAUCCUAUAGCUUAACUAUAGAACUGCUUCUGAAACUCUUAAUCUAGAAUAUGGGAGAGGUAGAUGGAAUUUCUGGUGUAGGGGUAAAAUCCGUAGAGAUCAGAAGGAAUACCGAUUGCGAAGGCGAUCUACUAGAACAUUAUUGACGCUGAGACGCGAAAGCGUGGGGAGCAAACAGGAUUAGAUACCCUGGUAGUC
Molecule: ribosomal RNA, 440 nt
Filed under: uncultured bacterium
Lineage: Bacteria
Description: partial 16S ribosomal RNA
Rfam family: Bacterial small subunit ribosomal RNA
Source: RNAcentral